CCCGUCAAGCCAUGGGAGCCGGGGGUGCCUGAAGUUCGUGACAGCAAGGAGCGACCUAGGGCAAAACUGGUGACUGGGGCUAAGUCGUAACAAGGUAGCAGUACCGGAAGGUGUGGCUGGAAUACCUCCUUU
RNAcentral lists this ribosomal RNA (132 nucleotides) under Bacteroidales bacterium. RNAcentral's name for it is "partial 16S ribosomal RNA". It matches the Rfam family "Bacterial small subunit ribosomal RNA", at positions 1393 to 1533 of the family's 1533-position model. Lineage: Bacteria; Pseudomonadati; Bacteroidota; Bacteroidia; Bacteroidales. The record is from RNAcentral.